ACCAUCCUUGUCUUGGGGUAGCGCUACUGUCUGAUGAACGAGUAGUGAGGACAGUACUGCUAUCGCCUGCACAGCAAGCCCUUAUCAACUAGAGAUUUGCUUUACUUUCGUGCGAUUUUUAGAAAA
This 126-nucleotide non-coding RNA is filed under the name Microcebus murinus (gray mouse lemur). RNAcentral describes it as "U4atac minor spliceosomal RNA (ENSMICG00000047709.1)". It matches the Rfam family "U4atac minor spliceosomal RNA". Rfam says of the family: U4atac is an essential component of the minor U12-type spliceosome complex which is required for removal of the rarer class of eukaryotic introns (AT-AC, U12-type). These interacting stem loops have been shown to be required for in vivo splicing. The record is from Rfam by way of RNAcentral. Lineage: Eukaryota; Metazoa; Chordata; Mammalia; Primates; Cheirogaleidae.